UACGUAGGGUGCAAGCGUUAAUCGGAAUUACUGGGCGUAAAGCGUGCGCAGGCGGUUAUGCAAGACAGAUGUGAAAUCCCCGGGCUCAACCUGGGAACUGCAUUUGUGACUGCAUGGCUAGAGUACGGUAGAGGGGGAUGGAAUUCCGCGUGUAGCAGUGAAAUGCGUAGAUAUGCGGAGGAAUACCGGUGGCGAAAGCGACUCUCUGGACGGCAACUGACGCUGAGGCACGAAAGCGUGGGGAGCAAACAGG
RNAcentral lists this ribosomal RNA (253 nucleotides) under uncultured bacterium. RNAcentral's name for it is "partial 16S ribosomal RNA". It matches the Rfam family "Bacterial small subunit ribosomal RNA", at positions 524 to 776 of the family's 1533-position model. The record is from RNAcentral.